GUGAAUCAUCAAAUCUUUGAACGCAAAUUGCACUCUCCUCGGAGAGUAUGCCUGUUUGAGGGUCGGCCUAUAAAAAAGCGACAUCGUUGCUGUUUCGCGGUGGCUUUAGUCGGAAAGUGGGUCAUCUUAAAGCCUUUUGAUUUAAGCGACUUAAAGUUUGCUUUUGGGUCGAUGAACGGUUCUAAGAUCUAUUCCUUUACACGUUUGAGGUAUCGAUUUUUACUAUAGGUGACCAUCAAAGCGGAGCGCGU
Molecule: unclassified non-coding RNA, 251 nt
Filed under: Glomus sp.
Lineage: Eukaryota; Fungi; Glomeromycota; Glomeromycetes; Glomerales; Glomeraceae
Description: partial contains 5.8S ribosomal RNA and internal transcribed spacer 2
Rfam family: 5.8S ribosomal RNA (bases 1-65)
Source: RNAcentral